UGAAAAAAUUGUCUCAUUUAGCAAAUUCCGGAUGUGUCUCCUACUGGUCGGUGGACCACACUGGUGCCGCUGCUCUUCAUCCUGAUGGUGGCUGCUGUCAAGGAGUUCAUUGAGGAUCUGAAACGUCACAACGCAGACAGUGUUGUCAACAAAAAGGAAUGUCAAGUACUGAGGAAUGGUGCCUGGGAGAUUGUGCACUGGGAAAAGGUGGCUGUUGGGGAAGUAGUCAGAGCUGCAAAUGGGGAUCACCUCCCGGCUGACCUCGUCAUACUGUCGUCCAGUGAACCACAGGGUAUGUGCUACAUUGAAACAUCUAACUUGGAUGGAGAAACAAACCUUAAAAUUAGACAGGGUCUCCAAAUAACUGCAGACAUAAAGGACAUUGACAGCCUGAUGCGUCUCUCUGGGCGGAUGGAGUGUGAGAGCCCAAACCGCCAUCUGUAUGAGUUUGUUGGGAACAUCCGCCUUGAUGGACACAGUACAAUGCCGCUGGGUCCAGACCAGAUCUUACUGAGAGGAGCCCAGCUGAGGAACACUCAGUGGGUGCAUGGUGUGGUGGUCUACACUGGACAUGACACAAAGCUCAUGCAGAAUUCCACUCGGCCUCCUCUGAAGCUGUCCAACGUUGAGCGGAUCACCAACUUUCAGAUCCUUGUGCUGUUUGGUUGCCUGCUGGCCAUCUCUCUGGUCUGCUCCAUUGGCCAAACCAUCUGGAAGUACCAAUACGGCAAUGAUGCCUGGUACAUGGAUCUCAACUCUCCAGAUGGCGGGGCGGCUAACUUUGGCCUCAACUUCCUCACCUUCAUCAUCCUGUUCAACAAUCUGAUCCCCAUCAGUCUCCUGGUCACACUGGAGGUUAUCAAGUUCAUCCAAGCCUUUUUCAUCAACUGGGACACCGAUAUGCUCUAUGAGCCCACGAACACACCUGCCAUGGCUCGCACCUCCAAUCUGAAUGAAGAACUAGGCCAGGUAAAAUACAUUUUCUCGGACAAGACGGGGACCCUGACCUGCAACGUGAUGCAGUUUAAGAAGUGCACCAUUGCUGGUGUGGCCUAUGGCCACGUCCCUGAGGCUGAGGAGGGUAGUUUUGCAGAGGACGACUGUCACAGCACACACUCAUCAGAGGAGGAGGGAUUUAAUGACCUGAGCUUACUGGAAAACCUCCAAAGUAAUCACCCUACAGCUGCUGUCAUCCUGGACUUUAUGACCAUGAUGGCCAUCUGUCACACUGCAGUCCCUGAGCGCACGGAUGGAAAAAUCACCUACCAGGCUGCAUCUCCAGAUGAAGGAGCUCUGGUGAGAGCAGCACAGAACCUUGGCUUUGUGUUUUCUGGUAGAACCCCGGACAGCGUCAUUGUGGAAAUGCCUGGAACAGAGGAGAGAUACGAACUACUUCAUGUGCUGGAGUUUACAAGCACGAGGAAGAGGAUGUCAGUCAUCAUGCGCACCCCAUCUGGGAAGAUCCGCCUCUACUGCAAAGGAGCUGACACAGUGAUCUAUGACCGACUGGCAGACAGCUCUAGGUACAAAGAGAUCACAUUGAAGCACUUGGAACAGUUUGCAACAGAGGGCCUGCGCACUCUGUGCUUUGCAGCAACAGACGUCAGUGAGUCGUCCUAUCAGCAAUGGCUGGAGAUCUAUCGCAGAGCUUGCACCUCCCUGCAGAACAGAUCUUUGAAACUGGAGGAGAGUUACGAACUGAUAGAAAAGAACCUCCAGCUCUUGGGGGCCACAGCGAUAGAGGACAAGCUCCAGGAUAAGGUGCCCGAGACCAUAGAGACUCUAAUGAAGGCAGACAUCAAGAUCUGGAUCCUGACAGGGGACAAACAGGAAACAGCCAUUAACAUUGGACAUUCCUGCAAACUACUGACCAAGAACAUGGGCAUGCUUGUGAUCAAUGAAGACACCCUUGAUAGAACAAGGGAAGCACUCAGCCACCACUGUGGAAUGCUGGGAGAUGCCCUCUACAAGGAGAACGACUUUGCUCUCAUUAUUGACGGGAAGACUCUCAAAUACGCCCUUGCAUUUGGAGUGCGACAGUACUUCCUGGACCUCGCCCUGUCCUGUAAAGCUGUCAUAUGUUGCAGAGUAUCUCCUCUUCAGAAGUCAGAGGUGGUGGAGAUGGUAAAGAAACAGGUGAAGGUGAUCACGCUGGCCAUUGGUGAUGGUGCUAACGACGUGGGAAUGAUCCAGACGGCUCACGUCGGUGUGGGAAUCUCCGGCAACGAAGGUCUGCAAGCAGCAAACUCCUCUGACUACUCCAUUGCCCAGUUCAAAUACUUGAAAAAUCUGCUGCUCGUCCACGGAGCCUGGAAUUACAACCGUGUAGCCAAGUGUAUCCUGUACUGCUUCUACAAGAAUAUUGUCCUCUAUAUCAUUGAGAUCUGGUUUGCGUUUGUCAAUGGCUUCUCAGGCCAGAUCCUGUUUGAACGCUGGUGCAUUGGUUUAUACAACGUGAUCUUUACCGCUCUGCCGCCUCUCACUUUGGGAAUAUUUGAGCGCUCCUGUAGAAAAGAGAAUAUGCUGAAAUACCCAGAACUCUACAAAACCUCCCAGAAUGCAAUGGGCUUUAAUACCAAGGUCUUCUGGGCCCAUUGUCUGAAUGGCCUCUUCCACUCCGUCAUCCUCUUCUGGUUCCCCCUUAAAGCCUUCCAGCAUGAUACAGUUUUUGGCAACGGAAGAACUCCAGACUAUCUCCUCUUAGGCAACAUGGUUUACACAUUUGUGGUCAUCACAGUUUGUCUUAAAGCCGGCCUUGAGACCUCAUCCUGGACCAUGUUUAGUCACAUCGCCAUCUGGGGAAGCAUCGGCCUGUGGGUGGUGUUUUUCAUUAUCUACUCCUCCCUGUGGCCCCUCAUUCCUCUGGCUCCCGACAUGUCAGGAGAGGCGGACAUGAUGUUCUGUUCGGGGGUCUUCUGGAUGGGCCUGGUUUUCAUCCCAGUCACCUCGCUGGUCUUUGACGUUACCUACAAAGUGGUGAAGAAGGUGUGUUUCAAGACUCUGGUGGAUGAAGUGCAGGAGCUGGAGGCUUUAUCCAAAGACCCUGGAGCAGUGGUGCAUGGAAAGAGUUUGACGGAGAGGGCCCAGCUCCUAAAGAACGUCUUCAAGAAGAGCACAGUCAGUUUGUACCGGUCUGACUCCAUGCAGCAGAACCUGCUCCGUCGGGAUGAGACGGUUGUUGUGUGAUACUUUUUUUAUUUUUUUAUUAAAUCAUUCAUAAUUCAAACCUCACCCCGUUUAAAACUGCCAGCCUCCUCUAGCUCCCUGAUAGAUGCCUCUCUCUUUCUGGUUGUUGACGUCCUGUCCUUCCCCUCGUGUGCCCCGUGGUGUGUCCUGAGUUGAGAUCAAUAGAGCGAGAUUAAGAUGAUAUGAUGAAAUAUUGCGCUGUUAUUCCCCACAAUGCACUCAUCUCAGCGGGGUCCUAUAAACUUCCCGCUGGCCUCCAGGUACUGACCGAGUCAUUUGACACCUGAAGAUGGCUACGCCUUCUCUCAAGACGAGAACGGAGUGGUGUCUCAGUCGGAUGUCAUCCGAGCAUACGACACCACCAAACAGAGGACCGACGAGUGGUGAGCCGCCGGCCCUCUGGUCGGCCAAUCGGGUGCCACAACAGCCGUUUCUAUUGGCGAUAUUUGAAGCUUGUGAGUGUGUGCCUCCAGCACUGAGGGCAUUUUUGGAGGUGGACAGAGUGUCUUUGAAAAAGGGAAAAAAAACAAGGAACAAAACAAAUUGUGUUCACUAUCAGCUGUAGUAUUUUGUCCAGCAGACAUGAUGAGCACUGUGCUUUCUUAGCAGUCUGUGGUCUGAAGUUCCACACUGUUCUUGCUCAGUUUGUUGAUGUGAACGUCUCCUCUAUUGAAAAUUAUCUAAAUCACUACAAUAUUUAAAAUCAAACUCCUAAACACUGUUAUUAAAGAAGUAACACUGGACUAUGAUAAGUUUUAGAUGACUUGAACAUGUAAAAGAUUGCCAAAAAGCAGUCGUAUAUACAUUCUCCCAAAUACUAGUGAAAUUCGGAAAACUAUGAACCAAAUGUAAUCACACUCCUGAGUGUAUUCCAGCACUAAACGGACCACAUUGUAAUAUUUUCUUUUGCACUUAAGGAUGCAUCUAUUGUGUAAAGCCUUACAUUUGCUCAUGCCUUCAUUCGUGUUUCUUUCAAAAUGUUCUUUUUUUUUUUUUUUUAAGUAUAUAGAUAUCGUCCCUGGUUUAAUUUAUUUUUUUCCUUUUUUAUUUUUUGUUUAUGAGUCGCCUCUUGCGACUCACCGUGGUCCUGUUUCCACCGUUUUAACAGCAGACUCAUUGCUCUCGACAAAUAAUUGCAUUCCACACAUCACUCCUGUCUCAACAAUCACAAUGGUGCCUAUGUAGAACCUUUCCUUCAUAGAAGACAAAGAUAGCCAAGAAUAGUUUAGCCAGCUAGCUUAGACCAGUGCUCCACACACACCUACUGAAGACAAAAUCCGUCUCCCCACCACAGGUUCGCACUUUUACAAUGUGAAAACAACCGAGUGCAUGUGGCACACGUAUAAACUAAGAUUUGUUCCUGCAGAAGUGAACGGGAGGCUCUCUGAUGGUCUUGUUGGAGCUUACAGUGGUGAUAGUGUUUCCCUUCAAAUUUAGCUUUUAUCCUUCUAACAUAAGUGCCAUUAGCUUAAGGGAGAGAGAAAUAUUAGGCAGGAAAACUCCACGACAAUAUCGAAACUACUUUGUCUCUAUAGUUAUUUUGUGGAUUUGUAUUUUUAUAUUGGAAAUGUAUGAAUUUUGCAUUGACUGGCUUUGUAUUGAACUGUCUGUAACUUUUAGUUUUAUCUUCUUCAUCUGAAAAACGGGAAGGAUAGAGUAGAUCGAAUGAGGAAACUGAGCUUUCUUACAUGUCUUGUCAUUAUUAAUAUGAAUAUUGUUGCUUGUUUUAUUUAUAAUUGACUACUUAAUGUCUGUGUGAUUGCUUUCUUCUCCCUGUGGGAGAUCAAAUCUCUGACGGUGUGUUCGAGUGUGUGUCAGUUGCAUGUGCAUGUGCUGUGUGUGCGUGCGUGUGUGUGUGUGUUACACCUCUACUGUUGAUAACGUCUAUUUAUGCAUUGCAUGUCUGUGUCCUCUGUGAGACUGGGAGUUUCUGGUGUCUCCUGGUGUGUGCGUGUGUGUGUCUGUGUGCGUGUGUGUCUGUGUGUAUGUGUGUGUGUGUGUGUGUGUGUGUGUGUGGGGGGGGCUUUCUCCAGUUGUCCGUCUGCACUACUUCAGAUAUAGCUAUGUUGUACUACUGUGUGCUGAUGCAUGGCCCGUAUGGGAAAAGUAUGAGCAUUAGUGUGUGUGCGUGCGUGUGCGUGUGUGUGUGUGUUCCAACUCUCGACCUCGACUGUGGGAGUUUCUGAUGCUCAGCUCGCUUCGACGGGAGAUGUUGCACAAUGUACUCGAUGUACCUUUCCAGUAUUGGACAUCUGGUAUUGUCUGAUUUGAGUAUUUGGUUUCUCUUGAGUGUACAUGUUUGUAACUUGUUUUCUUUAUGUAGUGUACUUCUGCUUUGCAGGAAAGCUCUUUAGUGAGGGUUAGUGAUUAUUUUUCUCUGCUGGUCUUUAGUGUUAAAACUUAAUUGGUCGUCAUCUUGUCAAAAGUUUCCAAACCGCUGAAUGUGGAUGUCGUCGUUGUGAAAGGCUUGGACUGUUGCUUUUUUUUUCUUUCAGAAAACAUCAAAAACACGUUGUUGUCUGUGAAAGUCGUGGGCUGCAUGAAUGGAUAACACAAACUGUUCUCUGAAAUAUUUAACUGUACUACUUUGAUUCUCCCUCAAGUGUUGAUCACUUUACAAAAGAGAAAAAAAACGCACUUUUAACUUUUACUUUUUAAUAUUUGUUUCUUUUCCGUCAUUUUGUUUGAUGAUUGUUCUGCAUGUUGGGACUGCAAACUUAUAAGUGUUGUCUUUUACUGCCAUGAAGGACUACUGAAAUAAACUUUACAACCAUGGAGGAACAA
Etheostoma cragini (Arkansas darter) is the source of this 5970-nucleotide RNA transcript. It is a transcript of the gene named ATPase phospholipid transporting 8A1, with no coding region annotated. Lineage: Eukaryota; Metazoa; Chordata; Actinopteri; Perciformes; Percidae. The transcript is spliced from 36 exons. The record is from RefSeq and is a predicted model, not a curated record.